UGGGGAAUAUUGGACAAUGGGCGCAAGCCUGAUCCAGCAAUGCCGCGUGUGUGAAGAAGGCCUUCGGGUUGUAAAGCACUUUUGUCCGGAAAGAAAUCCUCUGGGUUAAUACCUCGGGGGGAUGACGGUACCGGAAGAAUAAGCACCGGCUAACUACGUGCCAGCAGCCGCGGUAAUACGUAGGGUGCAAGCGUUAAUCGGAAUUACUGGGCGUAAAGCGUGCGCAGGCGGUUUUGUAAGACGGAUGUGAAAUCCCCGGGCUUAACCUGGGAACUGCAUUCGUGACUGCAAGGCUAGAGUAUGGCAGAGGGGGGUUAGAAUUCCACGUGUAGCAGUGAAAUGCGUAGAGAUGUGGAGGAAUACCGAUGGCGAAGGCAGCCCCCUGGGCCAAUACUGACGCUCAUGCACGAAAGCGUGGGGAGCAAACAGGAUUAGAUACCCUGGUAGUCCACGCCCUAAACGAUGUCAACUAGUUGUUGGGGAUUCAUUUCCUUAGUAACGUAGCUAACGCGUGAAGUUGACCGCCUGGGGAGUACGGUCGCAAGAUU
Molecule: ribosomal RNA, 548 nt
Filed under: uncultured bacterium
Lineage: Bacteria
Description: partial 16S ribosomal RNA
Rfam family: Bacterial small subunit ribosomal RNA
Source: RNAcentral